Phrynosoma platyrhinos (Desert horned lizard) is the source of this 70-nucleotide non-coding RNA. The record is from the annotation of a GenBank genome assembly. Lineage: Eukaryota; Metazoa; Chordata; Lepidosauria; Squamata; Phrynosomatidae.
GACUGUGGUUUAGUGGUUUGUAUGUUGCACUAGGACUCUGGAGACCAGGGUUCGAUUCCCUGCCAGGACA